UACGUAGGGUGCGAGCGUUGUCCGGAAUUAUUGGGCGUAAAGAGCUCGUAGGCGGUUCGUCGCGUCGGCUGUGAAAUCCCGAGGCUCAACCUCGGGUCUGCAGUCGAUACGGGCGGACUGGAGUUCGGCAGGGGAGACUGGAAUUCCUGGUGUAGCGGUGAAAUGCGCAGAUAUCAGGAGGAACACCGGUGGCGAAGGCGGGUCUCUGGGCCGAUACUGACGCUGAGGAGCGAAAGCGUAGGGAGCGAACAGG
This 253-nucleotide ribosomal RNA is filed under the name uncultured bacterium. RNAcentral's name for it is "partial 16S ribosomal RNA". It matches the Rfam family "Bacterial small subunit ribosomal RNA", at positions 524 to 776 of the family's 1533-position model. The record is from RNAcentral.